CGGGCGGCGCGAAGGUCUAAGUCCCUUGGAACGGGGCGUCAUAGAGGGUGAGAAUCCCGUAUGUGAUCGGCGACCAAGCCCAUGUGAAACUCCUUCGACGAGUCGAGUUGUUUGGGAAUGCAGCUCAAAAUGGGUGGUAAAUUUCAUCUAAAGCUAAAUACCGGCCAGAGACCGAUAGCGCACAAGUAGAGUGAUCGAAAGAUGAAAAGCACUUUGGAAAGAGAGUCAAAAAGUACGUGAAAUUGUUGAAAGGGAAGCGCUUGCCACCAGACCUGCCCGCGGGCGAUCAGCCGCUUUCUUGAAAGCGGUACACUCACCGCGAUCAGGCCAUCAUCGGUUCGGGCGGCCGGAUAAAGGCCUCGGGAACGUGGCUCCUCUCGGGGAGUGUUAUAGCCCUUGGC
This 401-nucleotide ribosomal RNA is filed under the name Seirophora blumii. Its description in RNAcentral is "partial 18S ribosomal RNA". It matches the Rfam family "Eukaryotic large subunit ribosomal RNA", at positions 165 to 569 of the family's 3401-position model. The record is from RNAcentral. Lineage: Eukaryota; Fungi; Ascomycota; Lecanoromycetes; Teloschistales; Teloschistaceae.